Molecule: long non-coding RNA, 346 nt
Organism: Quercus lobata
Lineage: Eukaryota; Viridiplantae; Streptophyta; Magnoliopsida; Fagales; Fagaceae
Exons: 2
Source: RefSeq, a predicted model, not a curated record
CAUGCUUCCGGGCAUAACCGCAGAAAAUAUCCGCAGUCCCGUGGCGCUUCCACAAGUGGUCAUGUUCCACACUAGGCAUGCUUCCAAGGACGAUGUUUUUGUUGUGUGGACAACCGAUGUUAGGAAAAGUGACUACGUUGUAUUGGCUCUAUGUGAACUUUUUGGUUUUUGUUGAAUGUGCUUGUAAAUCUCUAUUCAAUGUAUGCCUAUGAAGAUUGUGAUUUCAGUAGUAUGGUUAGAACUGCAAAUUAAGCGUGGUUGGGCAUGUUUAGAACGUUGAUAUUGAGAAUGCCUUUUCUUGCGAUGUAACUGCAUUUUGCAUUGUAAAACCAUGUUUGUAUAGAGA